UCCCCGGGAGCGCAGCCCCCGCCCCGCACCCACGCCCCGCUGGGAAGGCGCGGACCCGACCCGCGGCACUGCUGCAGCCGGGGCGGGAGGACGUUCUGGGAAAGGCUUACAUCAUCAAAGCCUUUAGAGAAACAGUCACCUUCACAGCUGUGCAUUCCUAGCCAAUGACUGCAUACUCUGGGAAGGACAAGGUUAACGAAAGAGACUGUCACCUUCACUGCAUGCCGCACAGGCGCAUCCCUUUCCUGCUCUGGACUGUGGACAGUAUUUGCAAUAGCCAUGUGAAAAAGGAUUUGCAGAGGAACUAUGAUAUGAUCUUGGAGUGGCUUGUACUAUCUGUUGUCACUAGGAUGGAGUCUCCCUGAGAGUAAAGUCAACAGAGAAAACCAAAGGCCAAGAGAUGGAGAGAGGAAGACCACAUUCUGAUGUAUUGUUUGAAGGAGUGGAUAUCUUUUUGCCUAAAAUUCCCUGACCUGAUGGUCAGUAAAAAUCCUUUUUUGGCUCAGACCAUCUUCAGUUGGGAUUUCUGAUGUUUGCAACAAGAGAUUUGUACCCACAUCAGUUAGAACCUGCAUAAAAUAAAGAGGGCCAUGGGCAAGGGAUGGUCCUUAUGAUAGAA
Molecule: long non-coding RNA, 619 nt
Organism: Phacochoerus africanus (Common warthog)
Lineage: Eukaryota; Metazoa; Chordata; Mammalia; Artiodactyla; Suidae
Exons: 3
Source: RefSeq, a predicted model, not a curated record